This 890-nucleotide ribosomal RNA is filed under the name Staphylococcus hominis. RNAcentral's name for it is "bacterial SSU rRNA". It matches the Rfam family "Bacterial small subunit ribosomal RNA", at positions 55 to 926 of the family's 1533-position model. Lineage: Bacteria; Bacillati; Bacillota; Bacilli; Caryophanales; Staphylococcaceae. The record is from RNAcentral.
AUGCAGUCGAGCGAACAGACGAGGAGCUUGCUCCUUUGACGUUAGCGGCGGACGGGUGAGUAACACGUGGGUAACCUACCUAUAAGACUGGGAUAACUUCGGGAAACCGGAGCUAAUACCGGAUAAUAUUUCGAACCGCAUGGUUCGAUAGUGAAAGAUGGCUUUGCUAUCACUUAUAGAUGGACCUGCGCCGUAUUAGCUAGUUGGUAAGGUAACGGCUUACCAAGGCAACGAUACGUAGCCGACCUGAGAGGGUGAUCGGCCACACUGGAACUGAGACACGGUCCAGACUCCUACGGGAGGCAGCAGUAGGGAAUCUUCCGCAAUGGGCGAAAGCCUGACGGAGCAACGCCGCGUGAGUGAUGAAGGUCUUCGGAUCGUAAAACUCUGUUAUUAGGGAAGAACAAACGUGUAAGUAACUGUGCACGUCUUGACGGUACCUAAUCAGAAAGCCACGGCUAACUACGUGCCAGCAGCCGCGGUAAUACGUAGGUGGCAAGCGUUAUCCGGAAUUAUUGGGCGUAAAGCGCGCGUAGGCGGUUUUUUAAGUCUGAUGUGAAAGCCCACGGCUCAACCGUGGAGGGUCAUUGGAAACUGGAAAACUUGAGUGCAGAAGAGGAAAGUGGAAUUCCAUGUGUAGCGGUGAAAUGCGCAGAGAUAUGGAGGAACACCAGUGGCGAAGGCGACUUUCUGGUCUGUAACUGACGCUGAUGUGCGAAAGCGUGGGGAUCAAACAGGAUUAGAUACCCUGGUAGUCCACGCCGUAAACGAUGAGUGCUAAGUGUUAGGGGGUUUCCGCCCCUUAGUGCUGCAGCUAACGCAUUAAGCACUCCGCCUGGGGAGUACGACCGCAAGGUUGAGACUUCAAAGGAAUUGACGGGGACCCGCAC